AGUGAACGCUGGCGGUAGGCCUAACACAUGCAAGUCGAACGGCAGCACAGUAAGAGCUUGCUCUUACGGGUGGCGAGUGGCGGACGGGUGAGGAAUACAUCGGAAUCUACUUUUUCGUGGGGGAUAACGUAGGGAAACUUACGCUAAUACCGCAUACGACCUACGGGUGAAAGCAGGGGAUCUUCGGACCUUGCGCGAUUGAAUGAGCCGAUGCCGGAUUAGCUAGUUGGCGGGGUAAAGGCCCACCAAGGCGACGAUCCGUAGCUGAUCUGAGAGGAUGAUCGGCCACACUGGAACUGAGACACGGUCCAGACUCCUACGGGAGGCAGCAGUGGGGAAUAUUGGGCAAUGGGCGCAAGCCUGAUCCAGCCAUGCCGCGUGAGUGAAGAAGGCCUUCGGGUUGUAAAGCCCUUUUGUUGGGAAAGAAAAGCAGCAGGUUAAUACCCCGCUGUUCUGACGGUACCCAAAGAAAAAGCACCGGCUAACUUCGUG
RNAcentral lists this ribosomal RNA (492 nucleotides) under uncultured bacterium. Its description in RNAcentral is "partial 16S ribosomal RNA". It matches the Rfam family "Bacterial small subunit ribosomal RNA", at positions 29 to 507 of the family's 1533-position model. The record is from RNAcentral.